This is a ribosomal RNA of Cavia aperea (Brazilian guinea pig), 115 nucleotides long. The record is from Ensembl. NCBI's taxonomy places the organism in Eukaryota, Metazoa, Chordata, Mammalia, Rodentia, Caviidae.
AUCUACGGCAAUACCACCCUGAACGCGCCCGAUCUCGUCUGAUCUCGGAAGCUAAGCAGGGUCGGGCCUGGUUAGUACUUGGAUGGGAGGACACAGAAAGAACUAGGGAUCAAUU